Y RNA from Callithrix jacchus (white-tufted-ear marmoset), 102 nucleotides. It matches the Rfam family "Y RNA". From Rfam's summary of the family: Y RNAs are components of the Ro ribonucleoprotein particle (Ro RNP), in association with Ro60 and La proteins. The Y RNAs and Ro60 and La proteins are well conserved, but the function of the Ro RNP is not known. NCBI's taxonomy places the organism in Eukaryota, Metazoa, Chordata, Mammalia, Primates, Cebidae. The record is from Ensembl.
GGCUGGUCCGAGUGCAGUGGUGUUUACAGCUAAUUGAUCACAACCGGUUACAGAUUUCUUUGUUCCUUCUCCACUCCCACUGCUUCACUUGACUAGCCUUAA